CCUACGGGCGGCAGCAGUGAGGAAUAUUGGUCAAUGGACGAGAGUCUGAACCAGCCAAGUAGCGUGAAGGAUGACUGCCCUAUGGGUUGUAAACUUCUUUUAUAUGGGAAUAAAAUGUUCCACGUGUGGGAUUUUGUAUGUACCAUAUGAAUAAGGAUCGGCUAACUCCGUGCCAGCAGCCGCGGUAAUACGGCGGAUCCGAGCGUUAUCCGGAUUUAUUGGGUUUAAAGGGAGCGUAGGUGGAUUGUUAAGUCAGUUGUGAAAGUUUGCGGCUUAACCGGAAAAUUGCAGUUGAAACUGGCAGUCUUGAGUACAGUAGAGGUGGGCGGAAUUCGUGGUGUAGCGGUGAAAUGCUUAGAUAUCACGAAGAACUCCGAUUGCGAAGGCAGUUCACUGGACUGCAACUGACACUGAGGCUCGAAAGUGUGGGUAUCAAACAGGAUUAGAUACCCGAGUAGUC
Molecule: ribosomal RNA, 460 nt
Filed under: uncultured bacterium
Lineage: Bacteria
Description: partial 16S ribosomal RNA
Rfam family: Bacterial small subunit ribosomal RNA
Source: RNAcentral